GAUGAACGCUGGCGGCGUGCUUAACACAUGCAAGUCGAACGGGAAAUAUUUCAUUGAGACUUCGGUGGAUUUGAUUUAUUUCUAGUGGCGGACGGGUGAGUAACGCGUGGGUAACCUGCCUUAUACAGGGGGAUAACAGUCAGAAAUGGCUGCUAAUACCGCAUAAGCGCACAGAGCUGCAUGGCUCAGUGUGAAAAACUCCGGUGGUAUAAGAUGGACCCGCGUUGGAUUAGCUAGUUGGUGGGGUAACGGCCCACCAAGGCGACGAUCCAUAGCCGGCCUGAGAGGGUGAACGGCCACAUUGGGACUGAGACACGGCCCAGACUCCUACGGGAGGCAGCAGUGGGGGAUAUUGCACAAUGGGGGAAACGCUGAUGCAGCGACGCCGCGUGAAGGAAGAAGUAUCUCGGUAUGUAAACUUCUAUCAGCAGGGAAGAUAGUGACGGUACCUGACGAAGAAGCCCCGGCUAACUACGUG
This 478-nucleotide ribosomal RNA is filed under the name uncultured bacterium. RNAcentral's name for it is "partial 16S ribosomal RNA". It matches the Rfam family "Bacterial small subunit ribosomal RNA", at positions 28 to 507 of the family's 1533-position model. The record is from RNAcentral.